Molecule: ribosomal RNA, 492 nt
Filed under: uncultured bacterium
Lineage: Bacteria
Description: partial 16S ribosomal RNA
Rfam family: Bacterial small subunit ribosomal RNA
Source: RNAcentral
AGUGAACGCUGGCGGUAGGCCUAACACAUGCAAGUCGAACGGCAGCACAGUAAGAGCUUGCUCUUACGGGUGGCGAGUGGCGGACGGGUGAGGAAUACAUCGGAAUCUACUUUUUCGUGGGGGAUAACGUAGGGAAACUUACGCUAAUACCGCAUACGACCUACGGGUGAAAGCAGGGGAUCUUCGGACCUUGCGCGAUUGAAUGAGCCGAUGUCGGAUUAGCUAGUUGGCGGGGUAAAGGCCCACCAAGGCGACGAUCCGUAGCUGGUCUGAGAGGAUGAUCAGCCACACUGGAACUGAGACACGGUCCAGACUCCUACGGGCGGCAGCAGUGGGGAAUAUUGGACAAUGGGCGCAAGCCUGAUCCAGCCAUACCGCGUGGGUGAAGAAGGCCUUUGGGUUGUAAAGCCCUUUUGUUGGGAAAGAAAAGCAGCAGGUUAAUACCCCGCUGUUCUGACGGUACCCAAAGAAUAAGCACCGGCUAACUUCGUG